This 217-nucleotide ribosomal RNA is filed under the name uncultured bacterium. RNAcentral describes it as "partial 16S ribosomal RNA". It matches the Rfam family "Bacterial small subunit ribosomal RNA", at positions 328 to 539 of the family's 1533-position model. The record is from RNAcentral.
ACGCUCGACACCUACGGGGGCAGCAGUGAGGAAUAUUGGUCAAUGGGCGCUAGCCUGAACCAGCCAAGUAGCGUGAAGGAUGAAGGCUCUAUGGGUCGUAAACUUCUUUUAUAUAAGAAUAAAGUGCAGUAUGUAUACUGUUUUGUAUGUAUUAUAUGAAUAAGGAUCGGCUAACUCCGUGCGAGCAGCCGCGGUAAUCUGAGCGGGCUGGCAAGGC